CCAGGUCCCCUUCUCCCCUCCAUCAGCGCGACUCACUUUCCCUCCACCCCUCAGUUACCCCCCCGCCCCGGGCUUGGAAGAUGUGGCACAAGGACUUCAGUGCUAAAGGCGAUGAUUGUUCACCUGGAUCAGGGUCCGCUGACUUCUUCUGUAAAGGGUGGUUUGUUUGAAUCGGGAUCCAAAUAAGGUCUACGCACUGUAUUCACGCAGAGCUUUUAAAUUUUUGAAUUAGUUGUCAACAUGUGAAAAUCUGGAUUUCGCAUAAACAUCGGGUUUUCAGCUUGUCAUGGAAAAACCCUGGGAGAUCUGGCAACUCUGCAGCCUCAUUCCCCGGCUGCGGUAGCACUGGGAAGCCAGCACGUAUUCUAGAUGGUGGCUUGUAUUCUCCCGCCCCCACUGUGCCCCCACAUUGUCACCCCUCCAACGACCCCCAAAGGCAUCGGACUGUGCCCUUCCUACUUUUGACGUUCCCACCUCCCCUCUGUCCUUGCUUAUGGUCACUUGGGCCAUUCUCUGGCCCACUUUCCCCUCCACCCACCUCUAGGCUGCCCUUUUAUCAUUCCUUUUCCUCCUUUAAGGUAGACUUUCGGAGUCUACCUGAUGCCAGGAGGAAUCGUGUAGUGCAGGUGGGCAGAGAGGAGAGGUUCACCCAGAGUGAUCAGCCAGCCCUCCAGUCCCUCAGGGUGGCUGCCUACAGGGCCCCAGGAAAGCCCCCCAGUGCCCCAGCACCCUCCUCGCUGGUUCAGUGGGUGCCUGAAGCUCACAGAGCACAGAGCCCUCACUCCUUGUAUAGAAAGAGAACACUCCUGCUUCGAAUUUGCUGUGUGACCUUCUAUAAUCACUCUCCCUCUCUGGGCUCCAGAUGCCCCUUCUAUACAAUGAGGGAGUUAGUUGGGGGCAGGGGGAGGGAAAGCUUGGGGAAGAGAAUAGUCCAAGUUGAGUUCCCAGCUGGGCUAUGAACAAUCUGUAGCUAACAACCUUCUGAUGCUGGUGAUUCUAGUGGUCAUUCAUGCCCUCUUCCCCCUUCACCAGGAUGGCCAAGGGGGAACAGAGAGGGGGAGAGGAUCUGGUAUAGACCAAGAGCAAAGCCAGGAGAGGUGCCCCCCCAAGGGCUGAGGAGGAGGAGGAAACAGCACACACCUCUCUUUCCCCCUCCACCUUCUUGGCCCACCCUUGUCUGACUGGGGCACACAUCGGUUCCUGAUUCUCUUCCCCCUGGGUACUGACGGGUCCUGUCUGGCCAUGGCACAUGCAGGACAUCCACUAGGGCAGGAGGGGGACUAAGGCUGGAUCCGAGCCUGUGUGGGUUGUCUGCAUGGGACAAGGACCGGACGGUGGCGGUAGACUCCGAGUCUGAAAAGCAAGGCUCAGGCAGUGCCCACCCUGGGGCGUUCCGUCAGGCAGAGGAGUCCAGCUGCAGGGAAACCAGGUGGCAGUCCCAGCCCAGUGGGGGAGUCAAGCACAUCAACACACAAUUACAAGAUAAUGUGAUAAGUGCUAGAAUCAAAGCCUACCUCAGGCACCUUGGGAGCACAGAGGAAAUGAUCCAUUUGUUCAUCCAGUUAUAUGUGCCCACCACCUUAUUCCAGAAAGAGUUUCAAGAGGCCAGCAAAGCCCAACAGAGAAAACGAAGUGAAAAUGAAGUAAAUGAGCAAAGGGAUAUGGUAUAGGAAAAAAAAAAAA
This is a non-coding RNA of Microcebus murinus (gray mouse lemur), 1683 nucleotides long. Lineage: Eukaryota; Metazoa; Chordata; Mammalia; Primates; Cheirogaleidae. The record is from RefSeq and is a predicted model, not a curated record.